Molecule: long non-coding RNA, 100 nt
Organism: Sapajus apella (tufted capuchin)
Lineage: Eukaryota; Metazoa; Chordata; Mammalia; Primates; Cebidae
Exons: 3
Source: RefSeq, a predicted model, not a curated record
UUAAAAACUGUAAAUGGAGAAUCAAAAUGCCUUAAAAACUGCUUCUAUAAGUAAUGUUUCUGUAAGAAUAUUACUUCUGCUCUUAUAGAAAAUAAAAUGC